Molecule: long non-coding RNA, 1080 nt
Filed under: Macaca nemestrina (pig-tailed macaque)
Lineage: Eukaryota; Metazoa; Chordata; Mammalia; Primates; Cercopithecidae
Description: lncRNA (ENSMNEG00000046043.1)
Source: RNAcentral
GGCUCAUUAAAAUGACAUAUUAUGAUGUACUUUACUUGCUUUGGUUUCUCUGCUGAAAUGUUGAUCAAUGUGUUCCUCAAUGAAAUGAAAUGUUCGUCAUUGUCUUCUCCUGUAGUGAAUUCUGGCAUUAAACAACUGAGAGGAAGGUGCUAAAGUGGAUGGCUCCCUUUAUGGAAGAAUGAUGGAUGGUAGAAACUCUAUUGGGGGAAGGAAAAGAAGCAUACUACACCCAUCUCAGAGCUGGCCUCAUGAGGAAGUCGCGCUGCCACAGGAACCAUUGUCAUCUCUGUGUCAAGUUCACGAAGUUCACAAAUAAGCAAAGAGACUUGUGACAAAGAGCUAGGUGAAAAGCGGGGAAAAAGGAAGAAAAUAGGGAAGCACCAGACUAAACCGGAAGAAAGAGGACAUUUAAAACUUCUUCUUUUUGUGUUCAGAGCUCACAAUAUAAAAAAAGAUACGGUUAAAAAAAGUUGUGAUGCUCAUAAAAAGCAACAUUUUAUUUUCAAAUCAAUUACAUUAAUCAUACAAUUACCCCGUAGCCAGUAAGAAUCACAUAUACAUGAAAGCAAAAUGCUGUUUAAUUGAAUAAAACAAUGUCACACAUAUGCCCAAAAACAAUAGAGUAAAUAAGAGUUUCCCCAACAAUGGCAGAGAGAAUAAUUUUCAUGUUGAGCUUUAUUGCUCUCUGGAACAGUAGCUCCCCCGAGCAGAGAACCAUAACAGAAUUAAGGAAAGAUAUUUCCAUUCCAGAGACCAGACAUUUGGAGGACAGUGAGUAUAAAUCAUGAACCUGGCCAAGUAUUUUAUUUCUUAUUGGAUUCUUGACUGUUUCUUACUUUCAUCAUUUUGUGAGUCAUGACUAACGGUGCUUGUGCUCAUCUACAGUAAUUGAUUCUGAGAGAAAUUUCUCCAAGGAUUCCUGCAGCUCUCCUUUGAACAUACGAAGAGGGAACAUUCUUUCAGUCCCACAAACUACUGAGGUAGAGACAGAGAACCCCAGACUGGAGGGCUUUGAUUUCACCCUGCACAUCUAAGGGCACAAAUUGGUUCCAGGUCAGGAUCAUAUGAACAUAAUCUGAC